UGAAGUUGGACACUUAACUGACUGAGCCACCCAGCGGCCCCAGUUGUGAUUCUUUUCUAAAAGUUAUUCCACUGACCUUCCAGCUUAAAAUUUGGAGGCAAAUUUUCCUUAACAGUAUAUCAAGUAUCAAUAUCUUCAAAUGUUGAUAUGCCAUUAGAGCGUUAAGUCCCAUUAAUUCACAAUUUAGUAUCAUAUACACUACAUACUCAAAUUUUCAAUCUUUUACAGCACGUUAACAAAGUUACUAGGAAACUGGACUACCAUGACAAAGAUGCUACAGAAUGCAUCAGAUUCUGACGGGGAGAGCCAAGAUCAAGGGGUGGUUUUCUUUAGGAAACAAUUCUACCAAAAACAACAUGGGAAUAGAAGUAAUUUAAGAUGUUCAAGACAAAUUAAAUGCACGACUGACUCCAAAUUGCCAUUUAGUAUGCUUGAGAUUGGAAGAGCACA
Herpailurus yagouaroundi (jaguarundi) is the source of this 450-nucleotide long non-coding RNA. RefSeq lists it as uncharacterized. The transcript has 3 exons. Lineage: Eukaryota; Metazoa; Chordata; Mammalia; Carnivora; Felidae. The record is from RefSeq and is a predicted model, not a curated record.